UUGUCAGAGUGUGGAGAAACACCGUUAGAUCUCAGAAGAAUAUGGCUAGCAUCUAAAUUCAUUUUAAAAGUAGUAGCCUAUGACAACCCAAUAUAUGCCUCAAUUGAGCAAUUUCACAAUGUCUUUCUGGGUUACUUUAGUUUUUGGAGAAGAAAAUAUUUCCCACCAAUACUGGCUGCUUUCCAGAAUACUUUACAUGAAAUUCAUGAGGUAGCACAUAGCUCCUUAUUUCCUUGUCACUCCUUUCCACUUAAUAUUCAGAUUUCUCCUAUGGCUUAUGAAACUGUCAAUAUGGGCAAAGAAGCAAAUAACCAAACCAAGUUUAUGGAAUGGUACCUCAAUAACUGGUCGGAAUAUAAACUUAUUUUCACAGAUGGAUCCAAAGAUAAACAAGGUAAUGUAGGUAUUGGGAUAUACCUUAACGAGAGAACACAGUUAACAGCAAGAUUACCCUCCGCUAAUUCAAUUUGCUCAGCAGAAGUAUUUGCCAUUAAAAAAGCAUUAGAGUUAAUCCAACAGAAUAAUUUUACAAAGUGCCUCAUCUGUAGUGAUUCUAAGAGUGCUCUAGAAAAAAUCACAAGAUCAAGCUACAGGGCGGCAAUAGACUCACAAACUCUCCAACUAAAACAAAAACUAUGUGAAUUUGAUGAACAACAUAGAGAAAUUAAAUUUGCAUGGAUUCCAAGUCACACUGGAAUUAUUGGGAAUGAUAGAGCUGACCAUCUUGCGAAUCUUGGAAGAAAGCUGCCCAUUAGUGAAGAACCAAAGGCCUCCUUUAAAGAUUUUCAAAUUAAAUAUAAAGAAAACCUAUGGAUCGGUUGGGAAAAUCGAUUCCAACAAAUAGGACAGGCAAAAGGAAUUACUUAUUGCUCACAAGUUACAGUUCCAUAUAAAAAGGCAUGGUUUACAAAAUUUCCCAACCUGGGGAGAGGUAUAAUCACACAAAUGUGUCGUAUGAGAAGUGGACAUUGUAGUGUUCCUGUACAUUUAUUUAGAUUGAAGGUAGUGAAUUCAAACCAGUGUUUAUGUGGCAGUGUAGGAACUUUACAACAUGUUUUAUUGGAAUGUACUAGGUUCCAAAGAGAGUCCCAGUUGCUUAGAAGGGAACUAGAAGGUGAUCCGACAUUAACUGAUGUGUUGUUUAAAAAUUUAAACUCAAAGACAUUAAUCGCAGUGCAAAAGUUUUUAACAUCAACAAUGACUCGUGUGUAGCUUGCUUAAAAACUUUAUGACUUUAUGCUUGCUUGCAAUGCAUGUGCUUUGUGCUUAGUGCGGUUUUGCGUGGUAGUACUAGAACUAGACCAUUAAUAGUAGAACUUUAGUUAUGGAACUUAUAAACAAUUAAAAAGUUUUUUUUUCUAUCUCUUGAUUAUUUCAGAUUCAGGAGCUAUGAGCUUAAGCCCAGAUGUACCUCAGGUACGGCUCUUGAAUAUUCAAGUCUAUAUUCACGGAUCCUGGCCGGAUAGCCCUGGCAGCUAAGGCCAUUCAAAUGAAGAGAAGAAGAAGAAGUCUGCUGAAGUUGUUGCAUGUGUUUCAUUUUCAUUCCUUUCGUUUCAUCAUUUGUUGUAAUUUUUGUAGUAAAGCACAUUUAAAAAAAAUCUGUUUUAAAGCUAUGGCUGAUGAAGAAUUUGACGAAAAUGAUGUAGCAGAUGAUUUCGAUGACGACGUAGAGGAUGAUAAUAUCGAAGAACUCGAACAACCCGAGGAAGAUGGAGAUAACAUCGAUAUCCUUGCUCCAGGACAAGCAGGAGGUGGUGUACCAAAAAACAAGAGGAUAACAACUAAAUAUAUGACCAAAUAUGAGAGAGCCAGAGUAUUAGGUACUAGAGCCUUGCAAAUAGCCAUGUGUGCCCCAGUUAUGGUUGAACUAGAUGGUGAAACUGAUCCUCUGCAAAUUGCCAUGAAGGAAUUAAAACAGAGAAAGAUUCCAAUUAUUAUUAGAAGAUAUUUACCUGACCAUUCCUAUGAAGAUUGGGGAAUAGACGAGCUCAUUAUUAUAGAUCACUAGAUUGUAAUUUUUAUGUGGAUAUUAUUUAAUACAUAGGUUUUUAUAUCA
This is an RNA transcript of Diabrotica virgifera virgifera (western corn rootworm), 2056 nucleotides long. It is a transcript of the gene named DNA-directed RNA polymerases I, II, and III subunit RPABC2, with no coding region annotated. The transcript is spliced from 2 exons. The record is from RefSeq and is a predicted model, not a curated record. NCBI's taxonomy places the organism in Eukaryota, Metazoa, Arthropoda, Insecta, Coleoptera, Chrysomelidae.